Molecule: ribosomal RNA, 253 nt
Filed under: uncultured bacterium
Lineage: Bacteria
Description: partial 16S ribosomal RNA
Rfam family: Bacterial small subunit ribosomal RNA
Source: RNAcentral
UACGUAGGUGACCAGCGUUGUCCGGAUUUACUGGGCGUAAAGAGCGCGCAGGCGGUCGUUCAAGUCGAGUGUGAAAGCCCCCGGCUCAACUGGGGAGGGUCACUCGAUACUGAUCGACUUGAAGGCAGGAGAGGGAAGCGGAAUUCCCGGUGUAGUGGUGAAAUGCGUAGAUAUCGAGAGGAACACCGGCGGCGAAAGCGGCUACCUGGACGAGGACUGACGCUGAGAUGCGAAAGCGUGGGGAGCAAACAGG